UUGGAAUCAUAGAGAAUAAAAAUAUUGUAAUGAGUAACCAAAAUUAUUUUUUUUUAAUGCAAAGGAAUCCCAAACACUACAAGACAUCGUGGAGCAACCAGCAGAUACAUCAGCCAUCAGUAUAUUGAAGAAUCAUUACCCUAAAAUAACUGUAACCUUAAAAAAAAUGUUCCCAGCAUCAGGAGAGAGGAAAAGCCCUGACUGGAAAAUGGAAGAACUUUCCAAAAGGGGAAAGACUCUGAAAGCCGACAUCAGGUCCAGUCAGGUAAAAAGAACAUCCUUGUUUCAUCUGAAGUUAAAAGGAGUCCAAAGCCAGCGACAGGAUCCCCUCUCUUGGCUGGCUAAACAGAUUGAAGUGGUGAGCAUCAGCUUGACUUCCAGAGAUGAUCAGAUUGUCCUAACAAUGGGAAGGAAUCAGAAAGCUUUAGUCAGCAUGGAACUUGCUACCAGAA
This 452-nucleotide long non-coding RNA is filed under the name Chrysemys picta bellii (western painted turtle). Its description in RNAcentral is "lncRNA (ENSCPBG00000015487.1)". Lineage: Eukaryota; Metazoa; Chordata; Testudines; Emydidae. The record is from RNAcentral.